CCUACGGGUGGCAGCAGUGAGGAAUAUUGGUCAAUGGACGAGAGUCUGAACCAGCCAAGUCGCGUGAAGGAUGACUGCCCUAUGGGUUGUAAACUUCUUUUAUAUGGGAAUAAAAUGUUCCACGUGUGGGGUUCUGUAUGUACCAUAUGAAUAAGGAUCGGCUAACUCCGUGCCAGCAGCCGCGGUAAUACGGAGGAUCCGAGCGUUAUCCGGAUUUAUUGGGUUUAAAGGGUGCGUAGGUGGAUUGUUAAGUCAGUGGUGAAAUUGUGCAGCUCAACCGUAUAAGUGCCGUGGAAACUGGUGGUCUUGAGUACAGUAGAGGUAGGCGGAAUUCGUGGUGUAGCGGUGAAAUGCUUAGAUAUCACGCAGAACUCCGAUUGCGAAGGCAGCUCACUGGCCUGCAACUGACGCUGAGGCACGAAAGUGUGGGUAGCAAACAGGAUUAGAUACCCGAGUAGUC
This 460-nucleotide ribosomal RNA is filed under the name uncultured bacterium. RNAcentral describes it as "partial 16S ribosomal RNA". It matches the Rfam family "Bacterial small subunit ribosomal RNA", at positions 338 to 795 of the family's 1533-position model. The record is from RNAcentral.